GUUGGUCAGGCUGGUCUCAAACUCCCAACCCUGUCAGGUGAUCCGCCCACCUUGGCCUCCCAAAGUGCUGAGAUUACAGGCAUGAGCCACUGCGCCCAGCUGGUGUCUUCUCUAUUUCAAGUAGAUGCUGGCAGGGAGAGAGAGAAACUCGCAAAGGUUAUGCAGUGGAAAAUCAGAGACUUGUUCCGGACGGGUGUUUGGGUUCUUAUUUUUCCCACCGAGUUUGUGGUGUUGAGUUCAACAGCCAUGCUAGGAAAGCCAGAAGACUGAAAUUCCACAACCUGUGGUAGAUGUUUAAACCCGAAGAGGGUGACGUGUCCCUGAAUUCCUUUUCUGCAGGCCACCUCACCUCCGCUGUAGGUGGAGCAGGUCUGGAAUUGGAGGUAGGGUGCUUGGCAAAGCCUUGUGUGGGCCACUCACUGAGUGCCAAGCGUGACCAAGGUCGUCCAUGCUCAUUCUCUCGUGGCUGUUAGGACUUGACUCAGAAAGUGUUUUCCUCCCCGGUCCCCCAUGUAAAAUUUCUCCCUCCCUCGCAUUCCUGCAACGUAUUUCGUUUCCCUUCCCUGGUUUACUCCUUGCCACAUCUCACGUCUCACCUGUAUCCUUCACUUACCCCGUUGACUAUUCCUCAUCGGAAUGCAAGCCUCACAAAAGGCAGGGGGUUUUGUUGGUGUUGUUCACUGUGUCCCCACUGCCUGUCCAAAAGUAGGCACUCAUGUGAAUAGCCACUGCAUGCCAGCCUGGGCAACAGAGUGAGACCCUGCCUCUAAAAAGAAGUAGUCAUCUGGCCAGGUACGGUGGCUCAGGUCUGUAAUCCCAGCACUUUUAAGAGGCUGAGGCGGGUGUGACUUGGUCUUUGUCACUGUUGUUUCAUCUUUGGAGAGGUCACAAAUAUUUUUUUGUUAAGUCAUCUGCCCUGAAGAUUUUCCAGGCCCAAUGUCAGGUUCACUGAUCUGUGGUUUGCAGAACUCACUUUCUUCCUCUUUUAAAAAAUGGUCAUGUAAUCUGCCUCUCUCUAACCUUUUGACAAGGUCAGAAAACCUUCUACGAAGUCAGGAGAGGGUCUGCAUGAUAUUCCCCUAAAACAGAAUCUGACUCUAAAUGAGUCACCUUUUUACAAUUCUCCCAAACAGCUGGUAAUGCAAGGGCAGGUCAGGAUGGCACAAGUCGGUGCCUUGUGCUAGGUUCACUUGCUGACCCAGGGAAGGAGUUUAUUCAGCCACAGCAUCCAUCCUCCUCCAUUCCCAUGAAUUCUACAAGAUGGCACUUGCAUCCUGCUGGACUCACGGCAGAACCUGCAGAGACCAAAAGCGUACCCACUCGCCUGUAGCAACCACGUAAAGGAAUGAGGGGUAUUGGACACAAACUGAAUUCACACCAAGCUGGAGACACCCUGAGUUCCAGCUUCACAUGCAUGGUGGCCACACCCAGUUGGUCAAACAAAUCUGGAGUGUACUAGAAGGAGCUAUGGUGCUGAAGGCUCCAUAACCCUCACGGCACUGCAGCUCCCAGCUUUUUUCUUCAUGUGUUCCCUUAAACUUUCCCAAGGAGUCUACAGUUCAAGUCUACAUCUUUCCAAGGACUGCCACUUCUGCUUGGGGUGUGGGACAGGUACUUGAUCAUCGAUCCAUAUGUCAUCUUUUCUCUUAAGUGAUAGAACUUGUUUCUCCUGCAUAACUCCCGUAAUUUCAGAAAACCCACCGUUUUCUAAAAUUGACAUUCAGCCCUAUUUCAGAUAUCACUGCAUUUCUUUAGAGACA
RNAcentral lists this long non-coding RNA (1760 nucleotides) under Homo sapiens (human). RNAcentral describes it as "non-protein coding lnc-KIAA0513-4:1". The record is from RNAcentral. Lineage: Eukaryota; Metazoa; Chordata; Mammalia; Primates; Hominidae.